Molecule: transfer RNA, 73 nt
Filed under: Phlyctis petraea
Lineage: Eukaryota; Fungi; Ascomycota; Lecanoromycetes; Phlyctidaceae
Description: tRNA-Asp
Rfam family: tRNA
About the family: Transfer RNA (tRNA) molecules are approximately 80 nucleotides in length.
Source: RNAcentral
GGGCUAGUAACUUAAUAGGUAAAGUACUACCUUGUCAAGGAAGGAGAUACCGGAUCGAAGCCGGCCUAGCUCG